GCACUCGCACAGAGGCAGGCAGAGGGAUGAGACGCCUAGCAGCCAAGUGGACAGCACUCUGAUGCCAAUUCUCAUCCUGUUUAGAAGUUCCAGGUCCUGGAUUCUGAGGUGCUGAGAACUCGCUGUGGAGCAAGGAAUGCUUGGUCCAGUGGAGGAAGGAGGUGGCCAUUUGAACCGAUGCACGGCUAGCUCUUCUUUGACUCUUUGUUCUUCACCACUAGCAAGGCCUGGCACAGAGAAGACUAAAUAAAUGGUGGUGGAGUGAAAGGAGGACAUAAUGAUUGGGAAGUGUGGCAGGACAUCCAGAAAGCAACUAGGAACAGAGGGCUGGAGCAGGAGACGUGACCACAGAGGGAUAUUUUUGGAAUUCUGCCCUGCUCAUCUGUAAGUCUGUGUGAGUUGCAUUAAACCUGAUGUGGAGAGUGCGUGGGGGUCUCAGAGCUUAAAGGAAAUAUGAAGACAAUGAGCAAGCUCCCACCCACAUUGCCUCUGCACUCCCAGCACUGCUUGCAUGAGCAGGGGACAGACACAUCCCUGGCACAGGGAGGCUGUUCCCACUCGGAGCACAUCUGUUGAAGGAAUGAGGACACCAAGUCUGCCCACACCCUAAGGCCAAACAUCAGUUGAGCAUCCAACACUUACACUACCGAAAGCUGCUGUCCAAGGAAGCAUGAGAGACAGUGGGGAAAAGCACAGCUGCCUCCAUGCAGUGUCCCAGCAGCAAACCAUGUCUGCAGGCUCUAGACCCACCAGUGAUUUUUCUUCUCUUCCUAAUUCAAUGCAAGGUUUCAGCUCCAUCUGAGUGCCUGUGGCACUGAGAAAAUUAAAUGUAGAUUUAAUUAAUCCCAAAUGAUCUUGGCUCACUGCAACCUCCACCUUCCAGGUUCAAGCAAUUCUCCUGCCUCAGCCUCUCAAGUAGCUGUUCAUGCAAAGUGACAUUGAAAAUGGAAAGACCCUAUUCUGGGCAUCAUUUCUGCUGGUCCUAAAAAAGAGUUAUCCAAAUUCCCACUCAAGAGCUCCCCUUCUGGCUCCCUGGGGGAAGCCAGCCCAGGUGAGGGCUCCUUCACUCUCCUGCAACUCUAAAAUGCACUGUGUAAGUUCUUGUGGACAAAUUGCCAUUAGGAACAGCUUCCAGUUGUCUGAAAACACCUGCGAGUAAACAACCCCAUCCCAGUCAAACUGUAUGGCUUACCUUUGGAGGUUUCUGAACUUCUGAGCCCUUUUGCCAUCCUAGCCCCACCUCUAUAGUGCCUAUGACCUUCAGCUCCUCCUCCAAUGAAGAUUCUAGACUGAAAGGUCCAUGAAGAAGGAGCCAUGCCAUGGUUCACUAUCACAGCAUCUAGUACAUCUCCUGGAACAUAGUAGGCCCUUGCUAAGGAUUUGCUAUGUGGAUUCAACACCUCUCUUGUAUAAGAUAUAAAGAUGUAUAGGAGGCCGGGUGUGUUGGCUUACACCUGUAAUCCCAGCACUUUGGGAGCCCAAGGUGGAUGGAUCACCUGAGGUCAGCAGUUUGAGACCAGCCUGGCCAACAUGGUGAGAUCUUGUCUCUACCAAAAAUACAGAAACUAGCUAGGUGUGGUGGUGCGCACCUGUAAUCCCAGCUACUUGAGAGUCUGAGGCAGGAGAAUCGCUUGAACCCGGGAGAUGGAGGUUGCAGUGAACCGAGAUCACGCCAUUGCGCUCCAGCCUGGGCAAGAAGAGUGAAACUCCGUCUCAAAAAAAAGAUGUAUAGGAUACGUUUCCCACCUUGGGACCCAUCCUCCUUCACAGGACACAGUCUGGAGAGGGUGUCCCAGGUCUCUUCCCACCAACAGUCCUUUCUCCGGAUGUGCCAGGGCUGGCCAUUCCCAGCAGUGAGACGCACUCCUGGGUGGCACCAGGGUCAGAAGAGCAUGGGUCUAGCCAUGGUGGCUCCUUUAGCCCUCCACUCAGGACCUUCCUCCAAGCCUACAAAUAAUGCAGGCUGGCCUCCCCCAUUCUCGACCCUCAUUUUCCCCCAUCAGCUCAGCACUCCCUGUUCCCUCUAGGAUGCUUCCAGGAAUAUACAGCACCGUUUCAGAGAGGAUUGAAUGGCAUGGCUUCUUUAGCAACCUAGAACACUUAAGCCAGCCAAAUUCCUGCUUUAUUUCACACAACCAGACAGAGUCGACAACCACACAAAUAACUAAGAAUUAUGAAGAUCCAUUGUACAAUAUCGACUGAACACCUCCUAUGGCCGGCUGCUGUCCUGGGCACUUCAGACACAGCAUGAAGGAAACAGACAGAAGACCUUCCCCUUAGAGAGCUUGUAUCUGGGGUAGGGAGGAUGCUAAGCAAAUAAACACAUCAGUAUCAGUCAGGGGUCUCCAGACAAACAGAGCCAGGAGUUAGAUUAGCUCUAAAUCUAGAUGACAUAGAUGUGUGUAUGUGUACAUAUUACAUACCUGUAUAAAGGAAUUUAUCUCAGGAAUUGGCUCAUACAGUUGUGAAGGCUGGCAAGUCUGAGAUCUGUGGAGCGGGCUAGCAGGCUGGAAACUCAUGUAGGAAUUGAUGCUGCAGUCCUGGGGCAGAAUUUCUUCUUUCAUAGGGAAACUUCAGUUUUGCUCUUCAAACCUCUCCACUGAUUAGAUGAGGCCCACCAAGCUAUCAAGGGUAAUCUCCUUUACUUAAAGACAGCUGAUCGUAAGUGCUUACCACAUCUAUAAAAUACAUUCACAGCAACACUAGGUUAGCGUUUGCUUCAAUAACUGGGUCUUAUAGCUUAGCCAAGUUUGACACAUAAAACCAAGCAUGCCAAAUGCAUGCCCAAUGUGUUGGGUAGUGAUAAGUAAGUACAAUGGGGGAAAAGAAAGCAGGUGGAGAGGGACAGGGAGCCCCAGGCAGUGGGGCACAGGAGACCUACCAUGUGAGAUAUAAUACAUCGUUCAAUACAAACUUGAAUGAAAAAUAAAUGAACAUACCGAGGCACUGCAUUCAAAAAGCACAACAAAAUCCUCACUUAGUGACAGAUCUGCUUAAUCAUAACUCUGCAGCACUGGAAUUGAGGACAGGAGAGAGGCCAUUCGCAGAGCUGUAAUUAAUAUCAGCACAGCCAAAGCAAGAAGCAAGCGUUUAGUCUCCGGUCUUGAUGGAUCUUCAGAAACAGAUCCCUGUCUACAACAGCCUCCUGGCUGAAUUCCUGCUUCCACGCUCGCCCCUCCCGCCACUCCUCUGCUCCCACCCCUGACAGUGGUCACAGGUGCCUGGCCUCUUCUCCCCGCCGCCCCCCUUCACUUCCCUGCACCGCCCCCUCCCACUGCAGCUGCAGUCCCGGUAGCUUCUUGCUGGUUCCCCAGCACUCCUUCUCGCUUCCGCCCCGGGCCUUUGCUGCUCCUCCUCCACAUCCUGGAAGGGUCUCCUCCCAGCCAUGUGCCUGGCUCUCCCCGCACAUCCUCCUCAGAAAGGCCAGCCUUGACCACCCCAUAAAAUAACACCCUCCUCAUCACUCUCUGCCUCCUUAGCCCAUCUUCUUGGUCUUCAUAGCGUGUAUGUUAAAUAUCUGUUUCUCUGUUGAUUGUCUUCUCUCAUUCUGUUUUUUUAAAUUGUAGUAAAAUAAUAUAAAAUUUACCAUUUUCAAUUGCACAAUUCAGUGACAUUUAGCACAUUCCCAGUGUUAGACAACCAUCACCACUACCUAGUUCCAGAACAUUUUCGCCACCCCAAAGGAAACCCAUACCCAUUAAGCAGCCACUCCCCAUUUCUCCCUCCUCCAAGCCCUGACAAUCUGUCUCUGUCUCUGUCUUCUGUCUCUGCGGCUUUGCCUCUUCUGGGUAUAUUACAUGAAAGGAAUCAUACAGCAUGUGGCCUUUUCUGGCUGACUUCUUUCGUGCAGCAUGAUGUCUUUGAGGUUGGUCCGUGCUGUAGCGUGGGGCAGUACUUCAUUCCAUCUACGGCGGAAGAGCGUUCCAUUGUGCGGGUGUGCCAUGUUUGUUUCUCCAUUCAUCCACUGAUGGACAUUUGGGUUCUCUGCACCUUCUGCCAUUGUGAAUGAUGCCACAGUGAACAUACAUGUGUGGUGUUUGUUUGAAGGGGACUCUGUCUCCAUCAUUUUGUGUCCCUGGCCUGUGAACAGACCUGCAGAUUAAACUGUGGACAGCUUAAUCUUCAGGCAAAUAAAUAAAAGGCAAAGUUUGGCAUCUAAUUUAAUUUUCC
Molecule: non-coding RNA, 4170 nt
Organism: Macaca mulatta (Rhesus monkey)
Lineage: Eukaryota; Metazoa; Chordata; Mammalia; Primates; Cercopithecidae
Source: RefSeq, a predicted model, not a curated record